GUGCUCACUUCAUCAACACACAUACUAAAACUGAACAAUACAGGGAAGAUUAGCAUGGCCCUUGUAUAAGAUGUUAUGCAUAUUUGUAAAACACUGCACAUUUUU
Small nuclear RNA from Balaenoptera musculus (blue whale), 105 nucleotides. The record is from Ensembl. Lineage: Eukaryota; Metazoa; Chordata; Mammalia; Artiodactyla; Balaenopteridae.